AACGUAGGACGCAAGCGUUAUCCGGAGUUACUGGGCGUAAAGGGCAGGCAGGCGGGUCGAUAAGUCGGAUGUGAAAUCUCCCUGGCUUAACCGGGAGAGUGCAUUUGAGACUGUCAACCUGGAGGGCAGCAGAGGAGCGUGGAAUUCCGGGUGUAGUGGUGAAAUGCGUAGAGAUCCGGAGGAACACCAGUGGCGAAGGCGACACGCUGGGCCGUACCUGACACUGAUACGCGACAGCAUGGGGAGCGAACGGG
Molecule: ribosomal RNA, 254 nt
Filed under: uncultured bacterium
Lineage: Bacteria
Description: partial 16S ribosomal RNA
Rfam family: Bacterial small subunit ribosomal RNA
Source: RNAcentral